Oreochromis aureus is the source of this 573-nucleotide long non-coding RNA. Lineage: Eukaryota; Metazoa; Chordata; Actinopteri; Cichliformes; Cichlidae. The record is from Ensembl.
CCAACUUAUAAGUGAAUAUGGUCAAUGUUAGAGAGGAGCAAGUCUUCAAACUCCGACUGAAGGUGCACCAAAAACUCAUGAAACAACAGUGAGACGAGAGUCAAGUACAAACCUUCACAGCUGCUGCCCAAAGGAAGAAGAGACCUGAAACCAACAGAAAUAAAAGACUCUGUACCGACUCCUGCAGUGAAGAAAGUGAGUGUGAGCUCUGAGAGCUGCUCCUUACUGUGUUUGGUGGACAGAGAGACCAAACUGCUGUGGUUUAAAGACGAGCAGAGACUGAACCAGAGCAGCUCUGCGCUCUCUCUGCCUCUCACUGUGCACAAACAGGACUUCAGCUCCUCUUACAGAUGUGUGGCUGCAAACCCUGCAGAGAAUAAAACUCUUCCUGUCCAUGUGAGAACGACCUGUGGAGACACCAACAACGACACCAACAGCUCGACUGAACCAAGAAACUAUAACAUCCUCAUUAUAAUCUUCUGUGUCCUGAGUGCUGCCCUCAUCAUCAUCAUCAUCAUCCUCAUCAUGAGGAGGAAGCAUCCUGUCCAAGACAAGUUUAACCUCCUACAAGCU